RNAcentral lists this long non-coding RNA (236 nucleotides) under Salvia miltiorrhiza (redroot sage). Its description in RNAcentral is "long non-coding RNA (SMIL_LNC003456)". The record is from RNAcentral. Lineage: Eukaryota; Viridiplantae; Streptophyta; Magnoliopsida; Lamiales; Lamiaceae.
UUUGGUAUUUUUUUUAAUUAGCAACUAUAUUUAUGUUGGGAUAUUUUCAUUUAUUCGCGUAAAUGUUGCAUUGGGAUAGUAACUUAUAUUUACCCUAGUAAAUAUUAGAUAUAUGUACAUAGAAAUCACAAGAUAUAGUUACUGGAUAUGAUCUAAAAGUAAUUAUUGAGACACAUAAAUUUGUAUGUAUGAAUAAUUGUUAAUUAGUAUAUCAAUCCUUGCCAAUGUACAUGUUC